CAGCAGCCGCGGUAAUACGUAGGGUGCAAGCGUUAAUCGGAAUUACUGGGCGUAAAGCGUGCGCAGGCGGUUAUAUAAGACAGAUGUGAAAUCCCCGGGCUCAACCUGGGAACUGCAUUUGUGACUGUAUAGCUAGAGUACGGCAGAGGGGGAUGGAAUUCCGCGUGUAGCAGUGAAAUGCGUAGAUAUGCGGAGGAACACCGAUGGCGAAGGCAAUCCCCUGGGCCUGUACUGACGCUCAUGCACGAAAGCGUGGGGAGCAAACAGGAUUAGAGACCCCCGUAGUCCCUGUCUCUUAUAA
This 301-nucleotide ribosomal RNA is filed under the name uncultured bacterium. RNAcentral's name for it is "partial 16S ribosomal RNA". It matches the Rfam family "Bacterial small subunit ribosomal RNA", at positions 509 to 809 of the family's 1533-position model. The record is from RNAcentral.